Molecule: transfer RNA, 67 nt
Filed under: Oliarus cf. filicicola HI01081
Lineage: Eukaryota; Metazoa; Arthropoda; Insecta; Hemiptera; Cixiidae
Description: tRNA-Gln
Source: RNAcentral
UAUAAGGUAUUGUUAAUGCAUAAAGAAUUUUGAAUUCUUUGGAGGUAAUUUAUUUUACUCUUUAUAA